UCGCACGUUCAACGUGGCGAACGGCUCAGUAACACGUGGUCAAACUACCCUACGGACCGUGAUAACCUCGGGAAACUGAGGCUAAUAACGGAUGUCGCUCCCGAGCUGGGAUGCUGGGAGCGAUAAAGCUCCGGCGCCGUAGGAUGUGACUGCGGCCGAUUAGGUAGACGGUGGGGUAAUGGCCCACCGUGCCGAUAAUCGGUACGGGUUGUGAGAGCAAGAACCCGGAGACGGACUCUGAGACAAGAGUCCGGGCCCUACGGGGCGCAGCAGGCGCGAAACCUUUACACUGCACGCAAGUGCGAUAGGGGGACACCGAGUGCGAGGGCAUAGAGCCCUCGCUUUUGUGCAUCGUAAGGUGGUACACGAAUAAGGGCUGGGCAAGACCGGUGCCAGCCGCCGCGGUAACACCGGCAGCCCGAGUGAUGGCCGCUUUUAUUGGGCCUAAAGCGUCCGUAGCCGGCCGUUCAGGUCCGUCGGGAAAUCCACUGGCUCAAC
Molecule: ribosomal RNA, 498 nt
Filed under: uncultured archaeon
Lineage: Archaea
Description: bacterial SSU rRNA
Rfam family: Archaeal small subunit ribosomal RNA
Source: RNAcentral